GACGAACGCUGGCGGCGUGCUUAACACAUGCAAGUCGAACGGAAAGGCCCUGCUUUUGUGGGGUGCUCGAGUGGCGAACGGGUGAGUAACACGUGAGUAACCUGCCCUUGACUUUGGGAUAACUUCAGGAAACUGGGGCUAAUACCGGAUAUGAGCUCCUGCUGCUUGUUGGGGGUUGGAAAGUUUCGGCGGUUGGGGAUGGACUCGCGGCUUAUCAGCUUGUUGGUGGGGUAGUGGCUUACCAAGGCUUUGACGGGUAGCCGGCCUGAGAGGGUGAACGGGAAAAUUGGGACUGAGAUACGGACCAGAAGAGAACGGGAGGAAGGAGCGGGGAAUAUUGCAAAAUGGGCGGAAGCAUGAUGAAGAAACGCAGCGUGCGGGAUGAAGGCCUUCGGGUUGUAAACAGAUUUAGCAGGUGACGAAGAGUGAGUGACGGUAAUGGGUAAAGAAGCACCGGCUAACUACGUG
RNAcentral lists this ribosomal RNA (468 nucleotides) under uncultured bacterium. RNAcentral's name for it is "partial 16S ribosomal RNA". It matches the Rfam family "Bacterial small subunit ribosomal RNA", at positions 28 to 507 of the family's 1533-position model. The record is from RNAcentral.